Molecule: long non-coding RNA, 335 nt
Filed under: Androctonus crassicauda
Lineage: Eukaryota; Metazoa; Arthropoda; Arachnida; Scorpiones; Buthidae
Source: RNAcentral
GGAGCUCGCAAUAUCUUUUAUAGCCAGGCUUUUUUCUGCAUAUUUUAUGCUCCUUUCCAAUUAGGGAGAUUAUUAAGGGGUGAGGCCAAUUCCAACCAUGGGUUGCACCCAUACCCAUGGAGGGGGUGGAUGGUGAAGAAUGGGGAUUGCCUGGCUGGGCUCAGCAUUUUGAAAAAACUUUUCAGGAGUUAUCAGGCCAGGACAUGAACCUGCACUCUCCUGCGUGGCAUGCUGAUAGCGUUAUCACUCAGCCAUCCAGUCACUUUUAUAGUCAAGUUAAUAUCAAGAAGUGGCCAAUUGCAGACAAUCAUUCAAAUGAUCAUUUGUAAUUUGGU